CCGGAUACCCCGGGGUGCCGCAUGGCACCCCGGCUAAAGCCCCGACGGGAGGGGAUGGCUCCGCGGCCCAUCAGGUAGACGGCGGGGUGACGGCCCACCGUGCCGACAACGGGUAGCCGGGUUGAGAGACCGACCGGCCAGAUUGGGACUGAGACACGGCCCAGACUCCUACGGGAGGCAGCAGUGGGGAAUCUUGCGCAAUGGGGGGAACCCUGACGCAGCGACGCCGCGUGCGGGACGGAGGCCUUCGGGUCGUAAACCGCUUUCAGCAGGGAAGAGUCAAGACUGUACCUGCAGAAGAAGCCCCGGCUAACUACGUGCCAGCAGCCGCGGUAAUACGUAGGGGGCGAGCGUUAUCCGGAUUCAUUGGGCGUAAAGCGCGCGUAGGCGGCCCGGCAGGCCGGGGGUCGAAGCGGGGGGCUCAACCCCCCGAAGCCCCCGGAACCUCCGCGGCUUGGGUCCGGUAGGGGAGGGUGGAACACCCGGUGUAGCGGUGGAAUGCGCAGAUAUCGGGUGGAACACCGGUGGCGAAGGCGGCCCUCUGGGCCGAGACCGACGCUGAGGCGCGAAAGCUGGGGGAGCGAACAGGAUUAGAUACCCUGGUAGUCCCAGCCGU
RNAcentral lists this ribosomal RNA (616 nucleotides) under uncultured bacterium. Its description in RNAcentral is "bacterial SSU rRNA". It matches the Rfam family "Bacterial small subunit ribosomal RNA", at positions 169 to 803 of the family's 1533-position model. The record is from RNAcentral.